Molecule: ribosomal RNA, 229 nt
Filed under: uncultured bacterium
Lineage: Bacteria
Description: partial 16S ribosomal RNA
Rfam family: Bacterial small subunit ribosomal RNA
Source: RNAcentral
UGUGUAGGCGGAUUAGUAAGUCAGUGGUGAAAACCUGCAGCUUAACUGUAGAACUGCCAUUGAUACUGUUAGUCUUGAGUACGGUCAAGGUAGGCGGAAUGUGUAAUGUAGCGGUGAAAUGCUUAGAUAUUACACAGAACACCGAUUGCGAAGGCAGCUUACUGGGCCAUUACUGACGCUGAGGCACGAAAGCGUGGGUAGCGAACAGGAUUAGAUACCCUGGUAGUCC